This 309-nucleotide unclassified non-coding RNA is filed under the name plant metagenome. RNAcentral's name for it is "partial contains 5.8S ribosomal RNA, internal transcribed spacer 2, and large subunit ribosomal RNA". The stretch from base 1 to 105 matches the Rfam family "5.8S ribosomal RNA", at positions 50 to 154 of the family's 154-position model. The record is from RNAcentral.
GAAAUGCGAUAAGUAGUGUGAAUUGCAGAAUUCAGUGAAUCAUCGAAUCUUUGAACGCACAUUGCGCCCCUUGGUAUUCCAUGGGGCAUGCCUGUUCGAGCGUCAUUUGUACCCUCAAGCUCUGCUUGGUGUUGGGUGUUUGUCCCGUCUCCGCGCGUGGACUCGCCCCAAAGUGAUUGGCAGCCGGCGUACUGGUCCCGGAGCGCAGCACAUGUCGCGCAAACGAGUGCCUUGGUACGGCGGCGACCAUAAGCCCCUCUCUCACGCUCUUGACCUCGGAUCAGGUAGGGAUACCCGCUGAACUUAAGC